This 1061-nucleotide ribosomal RNA is filed under the name Salmonella enterica subsp. enterica serovar Braenderup. RNAcentral describes it as "bacterial SSU rRNA". It matches the Rfam family "Bacterial small subunit ribosomal RNA", at positions 52 to 1102 of the family's 1533-position model. Lineage: Bacteria; Pseudomonadati; Pseudomonadota; Gammaproteobacteria; Enterobacterales; Enterobacteriaceae. The record is from RNAcentral.
CACAUGCAAGUCGAACGGUAACAGGAAGCAGCUUGCUGCUUUGCUGACGAGUGGCGGACGGGUGAGUAAUGUCUGGGAAACUGCCUGAUGGAGGGGGAUAACUACUGGAAACGGUGGCUAAUACCGCAUAACGUCGCAAGACCAAAGAGGGGGACCUUCGGGCCUCUUGCCAUCAGAUGUGCCCAGAUGGGAUUAGCUUGUUGGUGAGGUAACGGCUCACCAAGGCGACGAUCCCUAGCUGGUCUGAGAGGAUGACCAGCCACACUGGAACUGAGACACGGUCCAGACUCCUACGGGAGGCAGCAGUGGGGAAUAUUGCACAAUGGGCGCAAGCCUGAUGCAGCCAUGCCGCGUGUAUGAAGAAGGCCUUCGGGUUGUAAAGUACUUUCAGCGGGGAGGAAGGUGUUGUGGUUAAUAACCACAGCAAUUGACGUUACCCGCAGAAGAAGCACCGGCUAACUCCGUGCCAGCAGCCGCGGUAAUACGGAGGGUGCAAGCGUUAAUCGGAAUUACUGGGCGUAAAGCGCACGCAGGCGGUCUGUCAAGUCGGAUGUGAAAUCCCCGGGCUCAACCUGGGAACUGCAUUCGAAACUGGCAGGCUUGAGUCUUGUAGAGGGGGGUAGAAUUCCAGGUGUAGCGGUGAAAUGCGUAGAGAUCUGGAGGAAUACCGGUGGCGAAGGCGGCCCCCUGGACAAAGACUGACGCUCAGGUGCGAAAGCGUGGGGAGCAAACAGGAUUAGAUACCCUGGUAGUCCACGCCGUAAACGAUGUCUACUUGGAGGUUGUGCCCUUGAGGCGUGGCUUCCGGAGCUAACGCGUUAAGUAGACCGCCUGGGGAGUACGGCCGCAAGGUUAAAACUCAAAUGAAUUGACGGGGGCCCGCACAAGCGGUGGAGCAUGUGGUUUAAUUCGAUGCAACGCGAAGAACCUUACCUGGUCUUGACAUCCACAGAACUUUCCAGAGAUGGAUUGGUGCCUUCGGGAACUGUGAGACAGGUGCUGCAUGGCUGUCGUCAGCUCGUGUUGUGAAAUGUUGGGUUAAGUCCCGCAACGAGCGCAAC